AUUGAACGCUGGCGGCAUGCUUUACACAUGCAAGUCGAACGGCAGCGCGGGCUUCGGCCUGGCGGCGAGUGGCGAACGGGUGAGUAAUACAUCGGAACGUGCCCAGUAGUGGGGGAUAGCUCGGCGAAAGCCGGAUUAAUACCGCAUACGACCUGAGGGUGAAAGCGGGGGAUCUUCGGACCUCGCGCUAUUGGAGCGGCCGAUGGCAGAUUAGCUAGUUGGUGGGGUAAAGGCCUACAAAGGCGACGAUCUGUAGCUGGUCUGAGAGGACGACCAGCCACACUGGGACUGAGACACGGCCCAGACUCCUACGGGAGGCAGCAGUGGGGAAUUUUGGACAAUGGGCGAAAGCCUGAUCCAGCAAUGCCGCGUGUGUGAUGAAGGCCUUCGGGUUGUAAAGCACUUUUGGCGGGAACGAAAAGGACUGUGCCAAUACCACGGUUCGAUGACGGUACCCGCAGAAUAAGCACCGGCUAACUACGUG
This 484-nucleotide ribosomal RNA is filed under the name uncultured bacterium. RNAcentral describes it as "partial 16S ribosomal RNA". It matches the Rfam family "Bacterial small subunit ribosomal RNA", at positions 29 to 507 of the family's 1533-position model. The record is from RNAcentral.